This 800-nucleotide ribosomal RNA is filed under the name Microbacterium sp. JSM 2145018. Its description in RNAcentral is "bacterial SSU rRNA". It matches the Rfam family "Bacterial small subunit ribosomal RNA", at positions 35 to 844 of the family's 1533-position model. The record is from RNAcentral. Lineage: Bacteria; Bacillati; Actinomycetota; Actinomycetes; Micrococcales; Microbacteriaceae.
GGGGGUGGCGUCGCUAACACAUGCAGUCGAACGGUGAACACGGAGCUUGCUCUGUGGGAUCAGUGGCGAACGGGUGAGUAACACGUGAGCAACCUGCCCCUGACUCUGGGAUAAGCGCUGGAAACGGCGUCUAAUACUGGAUAUGUGACGUGACCGCAUGGUCUGCGUUUGGAAAGAUUUUUCGGUUGGGGAUGGGCUCGCGGCCUAUCAGCUUGUUGGUGAGGUAAUGGCUCACCAAGGCGUCGACGGGUAGCCGGCCUGAGAGGGUGACCGGCCACACUGGGACUGAGACACGGCCCAGACUCCUACGGGAGGCAGCAGUGGGGAAUAUUGCACAAUGGGCGAAAGCCUGAUGCAGCAACGCCGCGUGAGGGAUGACGGCCUUCGGGUUGUAAACCUCUUUUAGCAGGGAAGAAGCGAAAGUGACGGUACCUGCAGAAAAAGCGCCGGCUAACUACGUGCCAGCAGCCGCGGUAAUACGUAGGGCGCAAGCGUUAUCCGGAAUUAUUGGGCGUAAAGAGCUCGUAGGCGGUUUGUCGCGUCUGCUGUGAAAUCCCGAGGCUCAACCUCGGGCCUGCAGUGGGUACGGGCAGACUAGAGUGCGGUAGGGGAGAUUGGAAUUCCUGGUGUAGCGGUGGAAUGCGCAGAUAUCAGGAGGAACACCGAUGGCGAAGGCAGAUCUCUGGGCCGUAACUGACGCUGAGGAGCGAAAGGGUGGGGAGCAAACAGGCUUAGAUACCCUGGUAGUCCACCCCGUAAACGUUGGGAACUAGUUGUGGGGUCCAUUCCACGGAUUCCGU